GAAUAAAUAAAUUUGGUGUAUUUACUGUUUUCUGAUUGGUUAAAAUUAUUAGUUUUAUUUUCAAUGUUGUCAAUUUUGAUGGCGACACGCCCACUCUGACGUUGUGUAUUCAUACGCCAACAUGUGUGUACGUUGUUAUUGUUAAUAUAAAUAAUAUAAAAAGUUCUUUAAGCCUUAUUUUUGAUAGAAAUUUAUUUAUAAUGAAUGGCAAUAAUUUAUUUUGAUUUUAUUGAACCAUAAAACUAAUUUUUGACUCUUCACAUUUUACAUAAUCCGCUUCGCGGAUUAUUCAAUGUGAAGAGUCAAAAAUUAGUUUUAUGGUUCAAUAAAUUCAAAAUAGAUAAUAG
RNAcentral lists this long non-coding RNA (347 nucleotides) under Mytilus galloprovincialis (Mediterranean mussel). Lineage: Eukaryota; Metazoa; Mollusca; Bivalvia; Mytilida; Mytilidae. The record is from RNAcentral.